GAUGAAGAACGCAGUGAAAUGCGAUACUUGGUGUGAAUUGCAGAAUCCCGUGAACCAUCGAGUCUUUGAACGCAAGUUGCGCCCGAAGCCAUUAGGCCGAGGGCACGCCUGCCUGGGCGUCACACGUCGUUGCCCCCCCCAUCUACUCCUUCGGGAUUGCGGGGGGCGGAUGAUGGCCUCCCGUGCGCCUCGUCGCGCGGUUGGCAUAAAUGCCAAGUCCUCGGCGACGCACGCCACGACAAUCGGUGGUUGCGAAACCUCGGUUGCCCGUCGUGUGCGGUCGUCGCGCAUCGAGGGCUCGAAAAAAUUGCCGGGCUCUGCUUCGGCUUUCAACGCGACCCCAGGUCAGGCGGGGUUACCCGCUGAAUUUAAGCAUAUCAAUAAGCGGAGGA
RNAcentral lists this unclassified non-coding RNA (392 nucleotides) under soil metagenome. Its description in RNAcentral is "partial contains 5.8S ribosomal RNA, internal transcribed spacer 2, and large subunit ribosomal RNA". The stretch from base 1 to 122 matches the Rfam family "5.8S ribosomal RNA", at positions 35 to 154 of the family's 154-position model. The record is from RNAcentral.